GCUGGGGUGGCGAAAUCGGUAGACGCAGGGGACUUAAAAUCCCCCGGACGUAAGUCCGUGCGGGUUCGAGUCCCGCCCUCAGCAUCA
This 87-nucleotide transfer RNA is filed under the name Candidatus Melainabacteria bacterium HGW-Melainabacteria-1. RNAcentral describes it as "tRNA-Leu". It matches the Rfam family "tRNA". From Rfam's summary of the family: Transfer RNA (tRNA) molecules are approximately 80 nucleotides in length. Their secondary structure includes four short double-helical elements and three loops (D, anti-codon, and T loops). Further hydrogen bonds mediate the characteristic L-shaped molecular structure. tRNAs have two regions of fundamental functional importance: the anti-codon, which is responsible for specific mRNA codon recognition, and the 3' end, to which the tRNAs corresponding amino acid is attached (by aminoacyl-tRNA synthetases). tRNAs cope with the degeneracy of the genetic code in two manners: having more than one tRNA (with a specific anti-codon) for a particular amino acid; and 'wobble' base-pairing, i.e. permitting non-standard base-pairing at the 3rd anti-codon position. The record is from RNAcentral. Lineage: Bacteria; Bacillati; Candidatus Melainabacteria.